GACCUGACUGCUAUCGGAUUGGUACUAAGCCAUGCGAGUCGUUGUGCAGUACAGGCGGACUGCUCAGUAACACGUAGUUAACUUAACCUAUGGAUGGGCAUAACCUCGGGAAACUGAGAAUAAUACCCAAUGGACCACAGUGCCUGGAAUGGCCUGUGGUUGAAAUGAUUUAUCGCCGUAGGAUAGGACUGCGGCCUAUCAGCUUGUUGGUGAGGUAAUGGCCCACCAAGGCUAUAACAGGUACGGGCUCUGAGAGGAGGGGCCCGGAGAUGGGUACUGAGACACGGACCCAGGCCCUAUGGGGCGCAGCAGGCGAGAAACCUUUGCAAUGUGCGAAAGCACGACAAGGUUAAUCCGAGUGUCUCCUGCUAAAGGAGUCUUUUGUCAGUUGUAGAAUCACUGGUGAAUAAGGGAUGGGCAAGUUCUGGUGUCAGCCGCCGCGGUAAAACCAGCACCUCGAGUGGUCAGGAGGUUUAUUGGGCCUACAGCAUCCGUAGCCGGUUGCAUAAGUUUUCGGUUAAAUCUAUGCGCUUAACGUAUAGGCCGCCGAAAAUACUGUGCAGCUAGGGAGUGGGAGAGGUACACGGUACUC
RNAcentral lists this ribosomal RNA (592 nucleotides) under uncultured archaeon. RNAcentral describes it as "bacterial SSU rRNA". It matches the Rfam family "Archaeal small subunit ribosomal RNA", at positions 20 to 620 of the family's 1478-position model. The record is from RNAcentral.